This 615-nucleotide ribosomal RNA is filed under the name Burkholderia ambifaria. Its description in RNAcentral is "partial 23S ribosomal RNA". It matches the Rfam family "Bacterial large subunit ribosomal RNA", at positions 1083 to 1706 of the family's 2925-position model. The record is from RNAcentral. Lineage: Bacteria; Pseudomonadati; Pseudomonadota; Betaproteobacteria; Burkholderiales; Burkholderiaceae.
GCUAAAACAGUCAGGAGGUUGGCUUAGAAGCAGCCACCCUUUAAAGAAAGCGUAAUAGCUCACUGAUCGAGUCGUCCUGCGCGGAAGAUGUAACGGGGCUAAGCUAUAUACCGAAGCUGCGGAUGCGUGCUAUGCACGCAUGGUAGGAGAGCGUUCCGUAAGCCUGCGAAGGUGCGUUGAAAAGCGUGCUGGAGGUAUCGGAAGUGCGAAUGCUGACAUGAGUAGCGAUAAAGGGGGUGAAAGGCCCCCUCGCCGUAAGCCCAAGGUUUCCUACGCAACGUUCAUCGGCGUAGGGUGAGUCGGCCCCUAAGGCGAGGCAGAAAUGCGUAGCUGAUGGGAAGCAGGUCAAUAUUCCUGCACCAUUGUUAGAUGCGAUGGGGGGACGGAUCGCGGAAGGUUGUCCGGGUGUUGGAAGUCCCGGUCGCUGCAUUGGAGAAGGCACUUAGGCAAAUCCGGGUGCGCAAUUCAAGGGUGUGGCGCGAGCUCCCUCGGGAGCGAAGCAAUUGGAAGUGGUUCCAAGAAAAGCCUCUAAGCUUCAGUCUAACGAUGACCGUACCGCAAACCGACACAGGUGGGCGAGAUGAGUAUUCUAAGGCGCUUGAGAGAACUCGGGAG